UUCUACGUAUCACUAGAAACAUAUUAAAGAUUUUAAAAUUAGAAUUAAACUCAAUUGAAAUCUUGAAAAAAUUUAGAACCAAACAUAGGUUGAUAAAAAUAGCAGAAAAAGCUACGGGCAUAAAAUAAAUCAUAUAUACCAGGCCGGCGAUGGCGAGAUUUGCUGCUCUUGGCUCCCAUAUCUUAGUCACUAAUAAUUUGUUAAGCUUUGAAGAAUUACAGUAAUGGUGAGUCUAGGGAUUAUUGUUUAUAUAUAGUGGUUGCGUUGCUUAAUUUUGGAAGAAGAAAUCUGCCCUUUGCAAGCAAGUAAAAUUUAGGAAAUUUUCUCCAUUACGGAAAAGUGGAAAAAAGAAAGAAUAUAGGUUGUCAUUAAUAAGUCUCACUUAAAAGGAGAAAAAUCUCUUUCUUAAAAUGCUAAUUUAUCUCUCUUUUAGCUUUGAGAAUCCAAAUCAGACAUUAAUUGGAACUAUAGUUUUAGGAAAAUGGAAGCUUAUUGGUAUUAAUGCUCGUAGGGAACCAAACAUAAUGGGAAAUUAAAUCUUGAAUUUUUUGCCGUUAUUUGCAAAAGCCUUGUUUUUGUC
This 580-nucleotide long non-coding RNA is filed under the name Citrus sinensis (sweet orange). RNAcentral's name for it is "long non-coding RNA (CSIN_LNC005775)". The record is from RNAcentral. Lineage: Eukaryota; Viridiplantae; Streptophyta; Magnoliopsida; Sapindales; Rutaceae.